Long non-coding RNA from Schistocerca piceifrons (Central American locust), 277 nucleotides. RefSeq lists it as uncharacterized. The transcript is spliced from 3 exons. NCBI's taxonomy places the organism in Eukaryota, Metazoa, Arthropoda, Insecta, Orthoptera, Acrididae. The record is from RefSeq and is a predicted model, not a curated record.
GUUUAAUUGGACUCAUAUGUUCAUUCGCAAUUUCCCGCUAGUUGUUUUCUUCAGAAUUCAGGUGCGAGGAUACAAGUGAGUUGGCUUCCAUUCGGACGUCUACGAUGAGACGAUGGACAGGGUGAAAGGCCUCGGCGUUGAUACAGAGUGCACUGGUGGUGGCAGAAUACAGCAUGACCCCAGUGCCGAGGUCAUCAAAGUGUACAGCUACUCACAGGGGUUUGGGAAGGCAGACCACAGCAAGACUGUAGAAAUUCUGAAGACUGCAUAUCCUGUU